Molecule: ribosomal RNA, 417 nt
Filed under: uncultured bacterium
Lineage: Bacteria
Description: bacterial SSU rRNA
Rfam family: Bacterial small subunit ribosomal RNA
Source: RNAcentral
AGCGAACGCUGGCGGCAGGCCUAAAACAUGCAAGUCGAACGGAUCCUUCGGGAUUAGUGGCGGACGGGUGAGUAACACGUGGGAACGUGCCUUUAGGUUCGGAACAACUCAGGGAAACUUGAGCUAAUACCGAAUGUGCCCUUCGGGGGAAAGGAUUUAUCGCCUUUAGAGCGGCCCGCGUCUGAUUAGCUUGUUGGUGAGGUAAAGGCUCACCAAGGCGACGAUCAGUAGCUGGUCUGAGAGGAUGAUCAGCCACACUGGGACUGAGACACGGCCCAGACUCCUACGGGAGGCAGCAGUUAGGAAUCUUGCGCAAUGGGGGAAACCCUGACGCAGCCAUGCCGCGUGAAUGAUGAAGGUCUUAGGAUUGUAAAAUUCUUUCAGCGGGGACGAUAAUGACGGUACCCGCAGAAGAAG